AGCCCCAGAAAAUAUUUGAGGUGUAACCUGCCCAAUGAUUUAUAAUUAUAAUAAAUAAAAUUUAUGAAAAAAAAUUUAAAGGACGCGGUAACCUUGACCGUGAUAAUGUAGCAUAAUCAUUCGCCAUUUAAUUGAUGGAUAGUAUGAAUGGUUGAACGAAUAUUUCACUGUCUUAAAAAGAAAUAAAAAAAAAUUAGGAUAAUAGUAAAGACACUAUUUAAGAUUGUAAGACGAAAAGACCCUAUAGAGCUUAACUAUAAUCUCUUUAUAAAAAAAAAGAAUAAAAUUUUUAAUUAAAGAGAACGGUAGUUUAGUUGGGGCGACUAUCUUCUAAAAAAAACGAAGAUAAGCAAAGUAAAUAAUAAACUUAUUGUAUAAAAAAUAAAUUUAACAAUUAUAAAAAUAGGCUAUAAUGACCCGUUAUUAUUGAAUAAAAGAUAUAACGAUCAAUAAAUAAAAGCUACCUUAGGGAUAACAGGAUAAUUUUAUUCUAGAGACCUUAUCGAAAAUAAAGUUUGUCACCUCUAUGUUGAAUUAAGAUAACCUGGUAAUGCAAAAGUUACCAACGGUAGGUCUGUUCGACCUUUAAAAUCUUA
This 596-nucleotide ribosomal RNA is filed under the name Dynamena moluccana. RNAcentral describes it as "partial 16S ribosomal RNA". It matches the Rfam family "Bacterial large subunit ribosomal RNA", at positions 1832 to 2598 of the family's 2925-position model. The record is from RNAcentral. Lineage: Eukaryota; Metazoa; Cnidaria; Hydrozoa; Leptothecata; Sertulariidae.